GACGAACGCUGGCGGCGUGCCUAAUACAUGCAAGUCGAGCGCAGGAAAUCGACGGAACCCUUCGGGGGGAAGUCGACGGAAUGAGCGGCGGACGGGUGAGUAACACGUAAAGAACCUGCCCUCAGGUCUGGGAUAACCACGAGAAAUCGGGGCUAAUACCGGAUGGGUCAUCGGACCGCAUGGUCCGAGGAUGAAAGGCGCUUCGGCGUCGCCUGGGGAUGGCUUUGCGGUGCAUUAGCUAGUUGGUGGGGUAAUGGCCCACCAAGGCGACGGUGCAUAGCCGCCCUGAGGGGGGGAUCGGCCACACUGGGACUGAGACACGGCCCAGACUCCGACGGGAGGCAGCAGUAGGGAAUCUUCCACAAUGGACGAAAGUCUGAUGGAGCAACGCCGCGUGAACGAUGAAGGCCUUCGGGUCGUAAAGUUCUGUUGUAAGGGAAGAACAAGUGCCGCAGGCAAUGGCGGCACCUUGACGGUACCUUGCGAGAAAGCCACGGCUAACUACGCGCCAGCAGCCGCCGUAA
RNAcentral lists this ribosomal RNA (524 nucleotides) under uncultured bacterium. RNAcentral describes it as "partial 16S ribosomal RNA". It matches the Rfam family "Bacterial small subunit ribosomal RNA", at positions 28 to 523 of the family's 1533-position model. The record is from RNAcentral.